This 1380-nucleotide ribosomal RNA is filed under the name uncultured bacterium. Its description in RNAcentral is "bacterial SSU rRNA". It matches the Rfam family "Bacterial small subunit ribosomal RNA", at positions 18 to 1396 of the family's 1533-position model. The record is from RNAcentral.
CCUGGCUCAGGAUGAACGCUAGCGACAGGCUUAACACAUGCAAGUCGAGGGGCAGCGGGGGUAGCGAUACCCGCCGGCGACCGGCGCACGGGUGAGUAACGCGUAUGCAACUUGCCUAUCAGAGGGGGAUAACCCGGCGAAAGUCGGACUAAUACCGCAUGAAGCAGGGAUCCCGCAUGGGAAUAUUUGCUAAAGAUUCAUCGCUGAUAGAUAGGCAUGCGUUCCAUUAGGCAGUUGGCGGGGUAACGGCCCACCAAACCGACGAUGGAUAGGGGUUCUGAGAGGAAGGUCCCCCACAUUGGUACUGAGACACGGACCAAACUCCUACGGGAGGCAGCAGUGAGGAAUAUUGGUCAAUGGCCGAGAGGCUGAACCAGCCAAGUCGCGUGAGGGAUGAAGGUUCUAUGGAUCGUAAACCUCUUUUAUAAGGGAAUAAAGUGCGGGACGUGUCCCGUUUUGUAUGUACCUUAUGAAUAAGGAUCGGCUAACUCCGUGCCAGCAGCCGCGGUAAUACGGAGGAUCCGAGCGUUAUCCGGAUUUAUUGGGUUUAAAGGGUGCGUAGGCGGCCUUUUAAGUCAGCGGUGAAAGUCUGUUGCUCAACCAUAGAAUUGCCGUUGAAACUGGGGGGCUUGAGUAUGUUUGAGGCAGGCGGAAUGCGUGGUGUAGCGGUGAAAUGCAUAGAUAUCACGCAGAACCCCGAUUGCGAAGGCAGCCUGCCAAGCCAUGACUGACGCUGAUGCACGAAAGCGUGGGGAUCAAACAGGAUUAGAUACCCUGGUAGUCCACGCAGUAAACGAUGAUCACUAGCUGUUUGCGAUACACUGUAAGCGGCACAGCGAAAGCGUUAAGUGAUCCACCUGGGGAGUACGCCGGCAACGGUGAAACUCAAAGGAAUUGACGGGGGCCCGCACAAGCGGAGGAACAUGUGGUUUAAUUCGAUGAUACGCGAGGAACCUUACCCGGGUUUGAACGCAUUCGGACCGAGGUGGAAACACCUUUUCUAGCAAUAGCCGUUUGCGAGGUGCUGCAUGGUUGUCGUCAGCUCGUGCCGUGAGGUGUCGGCUUAAGUGCCAUAACGAGCGCAACCCUUGCCACUAGUUACUAACAGGUGAUGCUGAGGACUCUGGUGGGACUGCCAGCGUAAGCUGCGAGGAAGGCGGGGAUGACGUCAAAUCAGCACGGCCCUUACAUCCGGGGCGACACACGUGUUACAAUGGCGUGGACAAAGGGAGGCCACCUGGCGACAGGGAGCGAAUCCCCAAACCACGUCUCAGUUCGGAUCGGAGUCUGCAACCCGACUCCGUGAAGCUGGAUUCGCUAGUAAUCGCGCAUCAGCCAUGGCGCGGUGAAUACGUUCCCGGGCCUUGUACACACCGCCCG